Molecule: long non-coding RNA, 550 nt
Organism: Homo sapiens (human)
Lineage: Eukaryota; Metazoa; Chordata; Mammalia; Primates; Hominidae
Gene: AQP4-AS1
Product: AQP4 antisense RNA 1
Source: Ensembl
GUUGUCAGAGCAUUAAGAAGCAAGAGAGUAGAAUGUUACAGGGGGUGCUACAAUCACCCAGAUAAUAGCAGGAAGUAGGGUGGAGAGGCAUGUUAUAAAUCAGAAAGAAGAAUCUUCGGAGAAGGCUGGGAAGCAGGUGAUUUUUAGAGUUGAGGAAGCGGGCACACCUGCAAAACAGAAGAGAUUUUUGGAUGAAGGUUAUAGAACAGCAGUCUAGAGGCAGCAGUGGGAGCCAGUUUCUGUCCCUAGAUACUAGAGCUCCAAGAGCCUGGGAGAAUGACUCAUCUCUGCAGAAAGAGGUGGGAAGGAAUGUCGUUGCCAGGGGACCCAGUGGCUACGACAGAAAGAUGCCAAAAAAAGGGCUUCAGAAGCUGAUGGCAUAGUUAUGAGAGGGGUGAAGACUGCGACUGCAUUUCCAACAGACCCUGAGGACAAUUGGGAAGAAUGCGCUGAAUAUUUUUGAGCAAUUUCUAUAUGAUAAGCAGUUUUUAGGGCAAGUAUAGGUUGCACUGAUCCUGACCUUUUGGCCUGAGGAUGGAAGUCUUCAGUA